CGGGGUGGAUUAGUGGCGAACGGGUGAGUAACACGUGGGCAAUCUGCCCUGCACUCUGGGACAAGCCCUGGAAACGGGGUCUAAUACCGGAUACUGAUCGCCUUGGGCAUCCUUGGUGAUCGAAAGCUCCGGCGGUGCAGGAUGAGCCCGCGGCCUAUCAGCUUGUUGGUGAGGUAAUGGCUCACCAAGGCGACGACGGGUAGCCGGCCUGAGAGGGCGACCGGCCACACUGGGACUGAGACACGGCCCAGACUCCUACGGGAGGCAGCAGUGGGGAAUAUUGCACAAUGGGCGAAAGCCUGAUGCAGCGACGCCGCGUGAGGGAUGACGGCCUUCGGGUUGUAAACCUCUUUCAGCAGGGAAGAAGCGAAAGUGACGGUACCUGCAGAAGAAGCGCCGGCUAACUACGUGCCAGCAGCCGCGGUAAUACGUAGGGCGCGAGCGUUGUCCGGAAUUAUUGGGCGUAAAGAGCUCGUAGGCGGCUUGUCGCGUCGGUUGUGAAAGCCCGGGGCUUAACCCCGGGUCUGCAGUCGAUACGGGCAGGCUAGAGUUCGGUAGGGGAGAUCGGAAUUCCUGGUGUAGCGGUGAAAUGCGCAGAUAUCAGGAGGAACACCGGUGGCGAAGGCGGAUCUCUGGGCCGAUACUGACGCUGAGGAGCGAAAGCGUGGGGAGCGAACAGGAUUAGAUACCCUGGUAGUCCACGCCGUAAACGGUGGGCACUAGGUGUGGGCGACAUUCCACGUCGUCCGUGCCGCAGCUAACGCAUUAAGUGC
This 773-nucleotide ribosomal RNA is filed under the name Streptomyces thermocarboxydus. Its description in RNAcentral is "bacterial SSU rRNA". It matches the Rfam family "Bacterial small subunit ribosomal RNA", at positions 83 to 867 of the family's 1533-position model. Lineage: Bacteria; Bacillati; Actinomycetota; Actinomycetes; Kitasatosporales; Streptomycetaceae. The record is from RNAcentral.